RNAcentral lists this long non-coding RNA (381 nucleotides) under Setaria viridis. Its description in RNAcentral is "long non-coding RNA (SVIR_LNC009755)". The record is from RNAcentral. Lineage: Eukaryota; Viridiplantae; Streptophyta; Magnoliopsida; Poales; Poaceae.
GGUUUAGAAGGACUUGCCUCAUUAAAAACCUUGCCUCCAGAUUGGAGCCCCCCUUGCAAGGAAAAGAGUGCAGUCCAUUUGCGAAAAAGUAAAUGCGAUAAAGUAAAUUUGCUACCCUCUACAUUGUUUAUAGCUUCACAAGUCGAAGGUGCCUACGAGACAUUAUGGCUAAGGGUAAUACUUGCGCAAGUUGUCCACAUUCCAUGUGUGUGGUAACUCCGCUCCAAGCUGAUCUGCGAGGUGGAAGGAUCCUGGCCUGUUAGUUCGUGUAACAAUGUAUGGUCCUUCCCAAGUUUCCUACAAUUUUCUGAGGUUCUCCCAAUUUUUUCUCUUCUUGAUGACCAGGUCACCCACUUUGAUCUCCUUGUGGAUCACUGUUUU